GCCUCUGUAGCUCAGUGGAUAGAGCGUCGGACUUCUAAUCCGUGCGUCGUAGGUUCGAAUCCUAUCAGGGGCG
This 73-nucleotide transfer RNA is filed under the name Cellulomonadaceae bacterium. Its description in RNAcentral is "tRNA-Arg". It matches the Rfam family "tRNA". From Rfam's summary of the family: Transfer RNA (tRNA) molecules are approximately 80 nucleotides in length. Their secondary structure includes four short double-helical elements and three loops (D, anti-codon, and T loops). The record is from RNAcentral. Lineage: Bacteria; Bacillati; Actinomycetota; Actinomycetes; Micrococcales; Cellulomonadaceae.